UACGGAGGGGGCAAGCGUUGCUCGGAAUUAUUGGGCGUAAAGGGUAGGUAGGUGGUCUCGUUUGUCUGGGGUGAAAUCCCUGAGCUCAACUCAGGAAUUGCCUCGGAAACGGCGAGACUGGAGUCCUGGAGAGGGUCGUGGAAUUCCCGGUGUAGCGGUGAAAUGCGUAGAGAUCGGGAGGAACACCAGAGGCGAAAGCGGCGACCUGGACAGGUACUGACACUCAACUACGAAAGCGUGGGGAUCAAACAGG
RNAcentral lists this ribosomal RNA (253 nucleotides) under uncultured bacterium. RNAcentral's name for it is "partial 16S ribosomal RNA". It matches the Rfam family "Bacterial small subunit ribosomal RNA", at positions 524 to 776 of the family's 1533-position model. The record is from RNAcentral.